CUAAGAAUAUUCCGCAAUGGACGAAAGUCUGACGGAGCGACGCCGCGUGGAUGAUGAAGGCCGAAAGGUUGUAAAAUCCUUUUGAACUGGAAGAAUAAGUAGGAUAGGGAAUGAUUCUAUGGUGACAGUACAGUUUGAAUAAGCAACGGCUAAUUACGUGCCAGCAGCCGCGGUAACACGUAAGUUGCGAGCGUUGUUCGGAAUUAUUGGGCGUAAAGGGCAUGUAGGCGGUUAUAAAAGCUUGAUGUGAAAUCUCUGGGCUUAACCCAGAAACUGCAUUGAGAACUGUAUGACUAGAGUUACUAAGGGGAAACUAGAAUUCCAGGUGUAGGGGUGGAAUCUGUAGAUAUCUGGAAGAAUACCAAUGGCGAAGGCAAGUUUCUAGUAGAUAACUGACGCUGAGGUGCGAAGGUGUGGGGAGCGAACAGG
Molecule: ribosomal RNA, 429 nt
Filed under: uncultured prokaryote
Also listed under: 1 other name
Description: bacterial SSU rRNA
Rfam family: Bacterial small subunit ribosomal RNA
Source: RNAcentral